Molecule: ribosomal RNA, 880 nt
Filed under: Russula sp.
Lineage: Eukaryota; Fungi; Basidiomycota; Agaricomycetes; Russulales; Russulaceae
Description: partial large subunit ribosomal RNA
Source: RNAcentral
UAGCAUAUCAAUAAGCGGAGGAAAAGAAACUAACAAGGAUUCCCCUAGUAACUGCGAGUGAAGCGGGAAAAGCUCAAAUUUAAAAUCUGAUGGCCCUUGGCCGUCCGAGUUGUAAUCUAGAGAAGCGUCUUCCGCGCUGGACCGUGCACAAGUCUCCUGGAAUGGAGCGUCAUAGAGGGUGAGAAUCCCGUCUUUGGCACGGAUGCACCAGGGCUUCUGUGAUGCGCUCUCGAAGAGUCGAGUUGUUUGGGAAUGCAGCUCAAAAUGGGUGGUGAACUCCAUCUAAAGCUAAAUAUUGGCGAGAGACCGAUAGCGAACAAGUACCGUGAGGGAAAGAUGAAAAGCACUUUGGAAAGAGAGUGAAACAGUACGUGAAAUUGUUGAAAGGGAAACGCUUGAAGUCAGUCGCGUCGACCGAGACUCAGCCUUGCCCUUGGCUUGGUGUACUUCUCGGCUGACGGGUCAGCAUCAAUUUUGCCCCUCGGAUAAUGGCAAGGGAAAGGUGGCACCCUUACGGGUGUGUUAUAGUCCCCUGUCGCAUGCGAGGGUCGGGAUUGAGGAACUCAGCAYGCGCCUCUCGGUGUCGGGGCCUUUGGCCCACGCUACGUGCUUAGGAUGCUGGCGUAAUGGCUUUAAACGACCCGUCUUGAAACACGGACCAAGGAGUCUAACAUGCGCGCGAGUGUUCGAGUGGAAAACUCGUACGCGUAAUGAAAGUAAAAGUUGAGAUCUUUGUCAUGAAGAGCAUCGACGCCCGGACCAGACCUUCUGUGACGGAUCUGCGGUAGAGCGUGCAUGUUGGGACCCGAAAGAUGGUGAACUAUGCCUGAAUAGGGUGAAGCCAGAGGAAACUCUGGUGGAGGCUCGUAGCGAUUCUGAC